This 508-nucleotide ribosomal RNA is filed under the name uncultured fungus. Its description in RNAcentral is "eukaryotic LSU rRNA". The stretch from base 182 to 332 matches the Rfam family "5.8S ribosomal RNA". Lineage: Eukaryota; Fungi. The record is from RNAcentral.
AAGUCGUAACAAGGUCUCCGUAGGUGAACUGCGGAGGGAUCAUUACCGAGAGGCGGCCCGCGCGCCGACCUCCCAACCUCUGUCGACCGUACCGCGUUGCCUCGGGCCGCCUCGCGGCGCCCAGAGGACACCAAUCGAAACUCUGCAUCUCAUGCGUCGGAGUCAUUAUGUGAAUCAAUCAAACUUUCAACAACGGAUCUCUUGGUUCUGGCAUCGAUGAAGAACGCAGCGAAAUGCGAUAAGUAAUGUGAACUGCAGAAUUCAGUGAAUCAUCGAAUCUUUGAACGCACAUUGCGCCCUGGCAUUCCGAGGGGCAUGCCGUUCGAGCGUCAUUACACCACUCAGCCUGGCUCGGUAUUGGCGUCGGGAUGCCCCGCGCCUCUAUUUGUCGGCUGGACGGUUGAAUCUCAGCGUUGUGUCAUCAGAUCGCUGACGAGGACUGACCGACGCGCCGUGAAAUCUCACCACAGGUUGACCUCGGAUCGGGUAGGGAUACCGCUGAACUUAA